GCGCUCAUGGCCUAAUGGAUAAGGGGCUUGACUUCGAAUUAGGUAAUAGUAGGUUUGAGUCCCACUAGGCGUG
RNAcentral lists this transfer RNA (73 nucleotides) under Jatropha curcas. It matches the Rfam family "tRNA". From Rfam's summary of the family: Transfer RNA (tRNA) molecules are approximately 80 nucleotides in length. Lineage: Eukaryota; Viridiplantae; Streptophyta; Magnoliopsida; Malpighiales; Euphorbiaceae. The record is from Rfam by way of RNAcentral.